GCGGGAAUAGCUCAGUUGGUAGAGCACGACCUUGCAAAGGUCGGGGUCGCGAGUUCGAGUCUCGUUUCCCGCUCCA
RNAcentral lists this transfer RNA (76 nucleotides) under Escherichia coli. RNAcentral describes it as "tRNA-Cys". It matches the Rfam family "tRNA". From Rfam's summary of the family: Transfer RNA (tRNA) molecules are approximately 80 nucleotides in length. Their secondary structure includes four short double-helical elements and three loops (D, anti-codon, and T loops). Lineage: Bacteria; Pseudomonadati; Pseudomonadota; Gammaproteobacteria; Enterobacterales; Enterobacteriaceae. The record is from RNAcentral.